RNAcentral lists this ribosomal RNA (264 nucleotides) under uncultured bacterium. RNAcentral's name for it is "partial 16S ribosomal RNA". It matches the Rfam family "Bacterial small subunit ribosomal RNA", at positions 793 to 1055 of the family's 1533-position model. The record is from RNAcentral.
GUCCACGCUGUAAACGAUGCCGGCUCGUUCUUUGUCCUGCGUUAAGCAGGGUGAGGGGCUUAGCUCACGCGGUAAGCCGGCCGCCUGGGGAGUACGAGCGCAAGCUUAAAACUCAAAGGAAUUGACGGGGGCCCGCACAAGCAGCGGAGCGUGUGGUUUAAUUCGACGCAACGCGAAGCACCUUACCCAGGCUUGACAUGCACCUGCAAACGCCUGAAAGGGCGCGCCUUCGAGGGUGGUGCACAGGUGCUGCAUGGUUGUCGU